AACGACUGAGCCACUCAGGCCUUUGGACUCAGACUGGAACCAAACCACUGGCUUUAAUGGGCCUCCAGCUUAUAAAUGACAUAUCGUGGGACUUCUUAACCUCCAAAAUCAUUGGCAGAGGCUAUUUUCCCUCUUCCUCACUCUGGGCUGGCCCUGUGACUUACUUUGACCAACGCCAUCAGUGUGGCAGAAAUGACAGGUGCCAACCUGUUCCUCCAUGCUCUGGGAAGCAGCACCGUGAAGUGAAGAAGUUCAAGUGACAUGUGGAGGACCGCGAGGAGCAAGCUGAGCUGGCUGAAUGCAGUCCCACCAGCAACCCAAGGCCAGACCAGCAGAGGAACCACCCGGAUCAGACCCGAAUCACCUUGCUGCUCCCCUUGAACCUUCCCGGGUGCCUCUGUCUCUUGCAUGUCUACUCCCGUCUUGGCAUCUGCUUCCUUGGAGGACCUGAACUGACUCUUCUACCCCCUUUUAUUACUUCCUUAAGCCGGUUUGAAGUGGAUUUCUGUCACUUUCAAUUGAACAAUGUCUGAUCAACACAAUACUCCUACUAAGGCACUUGGGUCUUGUCCAGAAGGUGAUGGAGACACUACAGCGUUUUAAGUUGAGGUUGUGAUUAAGUCUCUGUGUGGAGCCCUCCUGACUCACUGGGAGAGGUGGGCUGGAAGGGGAGACUAGAGGAGGGACUCCAGUCAGGGGUUAUGGGAUAGUCCAGGGUACAUGAUUUGUAAGCCAAGCCAGGCAGUGGAAGGGUGGAUGGAAGGGAGAGGAUGGAUUUGGAAGAUAUUUUUAAGAGAGUCUUAAUAGGAUUUGCUGACUGAUUGGAAAGAAGGGUGGGCCGAGUGAACAGGGAGAAGCAGAAAGAGCCUCCUAGUGGCCAGCUCUGCAAAUUACAAUGAUGAUGACACCCCUUUACCAACGGUUCCCUGUGGACUCAACUUUCUUAAUAUCACAGCUGCCCUAGGAGAUAGUUAACAUGAUUAUCCCAUUUUAGAGAUGAGAAGGCUGAGGCUGAGAGAAGUUACAAAAGCUUCCCCAAUGUCUGAGAGUUAGCAAACGGUGUUGUUGGGAUUUAAACCCAGGGCCAUC
Leptonychotes weddellii (Weddell seal) is the source of this 1089-nucleotide non-coding RNA. The record is from RefSeq and is a predicted model, not a curated record. Lineage: Eukaryota; Metazoa; Chordata; Mammalia; Carnivora; Phocidae.